This 748-nucleotide ribosomal RNA is filed under the name uncultured bacterium. Its description in RNAcentral is "bacterial SSU rRNA". It matches the Rfam family "Bacterial small subunit ribosomal RNA", at positions 8 to 796 of the family's 1533-position model. The record is from RNAcentral.
AGAGUUUGAUCAUGGCUCAGAACGAACGUUGGCGGUCUGGAUUAGGCAUGCAAGUUGAGCGAACCCAGCAAUGGGGAGCAGCGUAAGGGGCAGUAAGGCAUAGGUACCUACCCCGGGGUCGGGCAUAGCCUGUAGAGAUACAGGGUAAUUCCCGAUGACCUCGUGAGAGCAAAGAUUCAUCGCCCUGGGAGGGGCCUAUGUGAUAUUAGCUAGUUGGUGGGGUAACGGCCCACCAAGGCGAAGAUGUCUAGCGGGUGUGAGAGCACGACCCGCGCCACUGGCACUGAGACACUGGCCAGACACCUACGGGUGGCUGCAGUCGAGGAUCUUCGGCAAUGGGCGAAAGCCUGACCGAGCGAGACCGCGUGUGCGAUGAGGGCCUUCGGGUUGUAAAGCACUGUCGAGGGGGAGAAAAGGCAACUUGAUCUAUCCCUGGAGGAAGCUCGGGCUAAGUUCGUGCCAGCAGCCGCGGUAAGACGAACCGAGCGAACGUUGUUCGGAAUCACUGGGCUUAAAGGGCGCGUAGGCGGGCUAUCAAGUCCGGGGUGAAAUCCUCCAGCUUAACUGGAGAACGGCCUCGGAUACUGAUGGUCUCGAGGAAGAUAGGGGCACGCGGAACUGUGGGUGGAGCGGUGAAAUGCGUUGAUAUCCAUAGGAACUCCGGUGGCGAAGGCGGCGUGCUGGAUCUUUUCUGACGCUGAGGCGCGAAAGCCAGGGGAGCAAACGGGAUUAGAUACCCUGGUAGUCC